RNAcentral lists this ribosomal RNA (2927 nucleotides) under Salmonella enterica subsp. enterica serovar Choleraesuis. RNAcentral describes it as "partial 23S ribosomal RNA". It matches the Rfam family "Bacterial large subunit ribosomal RNA". Lineage: Bacteria; Pseudomonadati; Pseudomonadota; Gammaproteobacteria; Enterobacterales; Enterobacteriaceae. The record is from RNAcentral.
GUUGUGAGGUUAAGCGACUAAGCGUACACGGUGGAUGCCCUGGCAGUCAGAGGCGAUGAAGGGCGUGCUAAUCUGCGAUAAGCGCCGGUAAGGUGAUAUGAACCGUUAUAACCGGCGAUACCCGAAUGGGGAAACCCAGUGUGACUCGUCACACUAUCAUUAACUGAAUCCAUAGGUUAAUGAGGCGAACCGGGGGAACUGAAACAUCUAAGUACCCCGAGGAAAAGAAAUCAACCGAGAUUCCCCCAGUAGCGGCGAGCGAACGGGGAGGAGCCCAGAGCCUGAAUCAGCAUGUGUGUUAGUGGAAGCGUCUGGAAAGGCGCGCGAUACAGGGUGACAGCCCCGUACACAAAAGCGCAUGUGCUGUGAGCUCGAUGAGUAGGGCGGGACACGUGGUAUCCUGUCUGAAUAUGGGGGGACCAUCCUCCAAGGCUAAAUACUCCUGACUGACCGAUAGUGAACCAGUACCGUGAGGGAAAGGCGAAAAGAACCCCGGCGAGGGGAGUGAAAAAGAACCUGAAACCGUGUACGUACAAGCAGUGGGAGCACAGGUUUACCUGUGUGACUGCGUACCUUUUGUAUAAUGGGUCAGCGACUUAUAUUCUGUAGCAAGGUUAACCGUAUAGGGGAGCCGUAGGGAAACCGAGUCUUAACCGGGCGUUAAGUUGCAGGGUAUAGACCCGAAACCCGGUGAUCUAGCCAUGGGCAGGUUGAAGGUUGGGUAACACUAACUGGAGGACCGAACCGACUAAUGUUGAAAAAUUAGCGGAUGACCUGUGGCUGGGGGUGAAAGGCCAAUCAAACCGGGAGAUAGCUGGUUCUCCCCGAAAGCUAUUUAGGUAGCGCCUCGUGAAUUCAUCUCCGGGGGUAGAGCACUGUUUCGGCUAGGGGGCCAUCCCGGCUUACCAACCCGAUGCAAACUGCGAAUACCGGAGAAUGUUAUCACGGGAGACACACGGCGGGUGCUAACGUCCGUCGUGAAGAGGGAAACAACCCAGACCGCCAGCUAAGGUCCCAAAGUCAUGGUUAAGUGGGAAACGAUGUGGGAAGGCCCAGACAGCCAGGAUGUUGGCUUAGAAGCAGCCAUCAUUUAAAGAAAGCGUAAUAGCUCACUGGUCGAGUCGGCCUGCGCGGAAGAUGUAACGGGGCUAAACCAUGCACCGAAGCUGCGGCAGCGACGCUGAUGCGUUGUUGGGUAGGGGAGCGUUCUGUAAGCCUGUGAAGGUGGCCUGUGAGGGUUGCUGGAGGUAUCAGAAGUGCGAAUGCUGACAUAAGUAACGAUAAAGCGGGUGAAAAGCCCGCUCGCCGGAAGACCAAGGGUUCCUGUCCAACGUUAAUCGGGGCAGGGUGAGUCGACCCCUAAGGCGAGGCCGAAAGGCGUAGUCGAUGGGAAACGGGUUAAUAUUCCCGUACUUGGUGUUACUGCGAAGGGGGGACGGAGAAGGCUAUGUUGGCCGGGCGACGGUUGUCCCGGUUUAAGCGUGUAGGUGUGUGUUCCAGGUAAAUCCGGUUCACUUUAACACUGAGGCGUGAUGACGAGGCACUACGGUGCUGAAGCAACAAAUGCCCUGCUUCCAGGAAAAGCCUCUAAGCAUCAGGUAACAUCAAAUCGUACCCCAAACCGACACAGGUGGUCAGGUAGAGAAUACCAAGGCGCUUGAGAGAACUCGGGUGAAGGAACUAGGCAAAAUGGUGCCGUAACUUCGGGAGAAGGCACGCUGACACGUAGGUGAAGUGAUUUACUCAUGGAGCUGAAGUCAGUCGAAGAUACCAGCUGGCUGCAACUGUUUAUUAAAAACACAGCACUGUGCAAACACGAAAGUGGACGUAUACGGUGUGACGCCUGCCCGGUGCCGGAAGGUUAAUUGAUGGGGUCAGCGCAAGCGAAGCUCCUGAUCGAAGCCCCGGUAAACGGCGGCCGUAACUAUAACGGUCCUAAGGUAGCGAAAUUCCUUGUCGGGUAAGUUCCGACCUGCACGAAUGGCGUAAUGAUGGCCAGGCUGUCUCCACCCGAGACUCAGUGAAAUUGAACUCGCUGUGAAGAUGCAGUGUACCCGCGGCAAGACGGAAAGACCCCGUGAACCUUUACUAUAGCUUGACACUGAACAUUGAGCCUUGAUGUGUAGGAUAGGUGGGAGGCUUUGAAGCGUGGACGCCAGUCUGCAUGGAGCCGGCCUUGAAAUACCACCCUUUAAUGUUUGAUGUUCUAACGUGGACCCGUGAUCCGGGUUGCGGACAGUGUCUGGUGGGUAGUUUGACUGGGGCGGUCUCCUCCUAAAGAGUAACGGAGGAGCACGAAGGUUGGCUAAUCCUGGUCGGACAUCAGGAGGUUAGUGCAAUGGCAUAAGCCAGCUUGACUGCGAGCGUGACGGCGCGAGCAGGUGCGAAAGCAGGUCAUAGUGAUCCGGUGGUUCUGAAUGGAAGGGCCAUCGCUCAACGGAUAAAAGGUACUCCGGGGAUAACAGGCUGAUACCGCCCAAGAGUUCAUAUCGACGGCGGUGUUUGGCACCUCGAUGUCGGCUCAUCACAUCCUGGGGCUGAAGUAGGUCCCAAGGGUAUGGCUGUUCGCCAUUUAAAGUGGUACGCGAGCUGGGUUUAGAACGUCGUGAGACAGUUCGGUCCCUAUCUGCCGUGGGCGCUGGAGAACUGAGGGGGGCUGCUCCUAGUACGAGAGGACCGGAGUGGACGCAUCACUGGUGUUCGGGUUGUCAUGCCAAUGGCACUGCCCGGUAGCUAAAUGCGGAAGAGAUAAGUGCUGAAAGCAUCUAAGCACGAAACUUGCCCCGAGAUGAGUUCUCCCUGAGACUUAGAGUCUCCUGAAGGAACGUUGAAGACGACGACGUUGAUAGGCCGGGUGUGUAAGCGCAGCGAUGCGUUGAGCUAACCGGUACUAAUGAACCGUGAGGCUUAACCUUACAACGCCGAAG